Long non-coding RNA from Mirounga angustirostris (Northern elephant seal), 1232 nucleotides. RefSeq lists it as uncharacterized. The transcript is spliced from 3 exons. NCBI's taxonomy places the organism in Eukaryota, Metazoa, Chordata, Mammalia, Carnivora, Phocidae. The record is from RefSeq and is a predicted model, not a curated record.
GGAGGCGGGGGAGGCGUGCGCUCCGGAGCGAGCCCGGGGCGGCGAGGCGGAGACAGCCAGGCCACGGGCCGCCGAGCGUGCCCGCCCAGGCGACCCGCCCUCCCGGCCGCGGUGCGGACCGACCGACCGACGGCGCUGCGUGCAGGAGGCGCCCGGCCAUGUUCAGCCGGAGCUCCCGGAAAAGACUCUCCAGCCGCUCGUUGACUGGACUGGGGCGGAUAGAGAGAGGCCAGCCAUGUAACGCCUGUGGUGACCAGUGCCCCGGGUUCGCCUUGCAUAAAUGGAGAUGGUGGCACACCAUAGCUCCUUCCUCUUUGUCAUUCAAAAGUAGAUCUUGGAGAGGGGCGCCUGGGUGGCUCAGUCGUUAAGCGUCUGCCUUCGGCUCAGGUCAUGGUUCCAGGGUCCUGGGAUCGAGCCCCGCAUCGGGCUCCCUGCUCUGCAGGAAGCCUGCUUCUCCCUCUCCCACUCCCCCUGCUUGUGUUCCCUCUCCCGCUGUGUCUCUGUCAAAUAAAUAAAUAAAAUCUUUAAAAAAAAAAAAAAGAUCUUGGAGAGCUUUUAGUAUCAGUUACAUAAAUAUUCUUUUAAAAAAAUGACUGUAAAAUCCCAUUAUAUAGCUGUACCAUAAUUUAUUUUUACCAGAUCUUCACUGAUGAUCAUUUAGGAUAUUUAAAAUUUCUGGUUGUUGCAAAUGUUGCUUGAGUAGACAUUCUUAUCUGUAGAUCAUCAUUGCCUUUAUGCAUGAAAAUAUCUGUAGGAUACAUUUCUAGAAGUGGAAUCACCGGAUCAAAGGGAAUACACAUUUCAAUUACAUGAAUAUUGUUAGAAGGAAAAAAGUUGGUUUUUGAAGAUGUAGCUAUCAGUGUGUAUGGGGGUAGAAGACUAAUUUUCAAUGGCUAAGCAUUUAAGUUCAACAAGCUCUUUGGAAUGCCAAUUAAAACCUUCUUUUUUAUUGUGGUAAAAUAAACAUAACUGGAAUGCCAUUUGUAUUCAUUACUUUGAUUUGCCAGCCUCAAGUUUUUGCAAAACCACUAAAUUGGAUUUAACUUCACUGUACUGAGAUAGGAGUUAUUAAAUAUUUUUCUCCUGAUAGAGUCUCUGUGGGAGUAAGACACGCCAUCCCUACUGUGGACAAGGACCGACAUGCUGUCAACAUUCAGCUACUGAUCAUGCCCACGGUGCGGUACUGAAUGUCGAGUGUAUCCUAAUGGGAGUUUGUGUUCUGUCACAAGGUU